This 529-nucleotide ribosomal RNA is filed under the name uncultured bacterium. Its description in RNAcentral is "bacterial SSU rRNA". It matches the Rfam family "Bacterial small subunit ribosomal RNA", at positions 981 to 1509 of the family's 1533-position model. The record is from RNAcentral.
UUGACAUACUAAGAACUUUCCAGAGAUGGAUUGGUGCCUUCGGGAACUUAGAUACAGGUGCUGCAUGGCUGUCGUCAGCUCGUGUCGUGAGAUGUUGGGUUAAGUCCCGNAACGAGCGCAACCCUUUUCCUUAUUUGCCAGCGGGUCAUGCCGGGAACUUUAAGGAUACUGCCAGUGACAAACUGGAGGAAGGCGGGGACGACGUCAAGUCAUCAUGGCCCUUACGGCCAGGGCUACACACGUGCUACAAUGGUCGGUACAAAGGGUUGCUACCUCGCGAGAGGAUGCUAAUCUCAAAAAGCCGAUCGUAGUCCGGAUCGCAGUCUGCAACUCGACUGCGUGAAGUCGGAAUCGCUAGUAAUCGCGGAUCAGAAUGCCGCGGUGAAUACGUUCCCGGGCCUUGUACACACCGCCCGUCACACCAUGGGAGUUUGUUGCACCAGAAGUAGGUAGUCUAACCGCAAGGAGGACGCUUACCACGGUGUGGCCGAUGACUGGGGUGAAGUCGUAACAAGGUAGGCGUAGAUGA